Molecule: ribosomal RNA, 851 nt
Filed under: Staphylococcus pseudintermedius
Lineage: Bacteria; Bacillati; Bacillota; Bacilli; Caryophanales; Staphylococcaceae
Description: partial 23S ribosomal RNA
Rfam family: Bacterial large subunit ribosomal RNA
Source: RNAcentral
AGAAGGUAAUAAUCCUGUAGUCGAAAACGAAUUCUCUCUUGAGUGGAUCCUGAGUACGACGGAGCACGUGAAAUUCCGUCGGAAUCUGGGAGGACCAUCUCCUAAGGCUAAAUACUCUCUAGUGACCGAUAGUGAACCAGUACCGUGAGGGAAAGGUGAAAAGUACCCCGGAAGGGGAGUGAAAGAGAACUUGAAACCGUGUGCUUACAAGUAGUCAGAGCCCGUUAAUGGGUGAUGGCGUGCCUUUUGUAGAAUGAACCGGCGAGUUACGAUCUGAUGCAAGGUUAAGCAGAAAAUGUGGAGCCGUAGCGAAAGCGAGUCUGAAUAGGGCGAAUGAGUAUUUGGUCGUAGACCCGAAACCAGGUGAUCUACCCUUGGUCAGGUUGAAGUUCAGGUAACACUGAAUGGAGGACCGAACCGACUUACGUUGAAAAGUGAGCGGAUGAACUGAGGGUAGCGGAGAAAUUCCAAUCGAACUUGGAGAUAGCUGGUUCUCUCCGAAAUAGCUUUAGGGCUAGCCUCAAGUGAUGAUUAUUGGAGGUAGAGCACUGUUUGGACGAGGGGCCCCUCUCGGGUUACCGAAUUCAGACAAACUCCGAAUGCCAAAUAAUUUAACUUGGGAGUCAGAAUGUGGGUGAUAAGGUCCAUAUUCGAAAGGGAAACAGCCCAGACCACCAGCUAAGGUCCCAAAAUAUAUGUUAAGUGGAAAAGGAUGUGGCGUUGCCCAGACAACUAGGAUGUUGGCUUAGAAGCAGCCAUCAUUUAAAGAGUGCGUAAUAGCUCACUAGUCGAGUGACACUGCGCCGAAAAUGUACCGGGGCUAAACAUAUUACCGAAGCUGUGGAUUGUCC